UUUUUUUCGUGUAACACAUUUUCCCCUUCCUUUUGCUCAUGUCCUUUACCUUUUUCUUAUGUAACAGGUUAUCUCGAUACUUUCUUUUGCUCAUGUCCUUUACCUUGUUCUUAUGUAACAGAUUAUCUCGAUACUUUCUUUUGCUCAUGUCCUUUACCGUUUUCUUAUGUAACAGGUUUUCUUGAUACUUUCUUUUGCUCAUGCCCUUUUUCAUUUCCCUGUACAACUCAUCUUUUUGAUACUUCCACUUACAAACAUUUUUUUUCUCUUCCUGAUACAACAUAUCUUCUUGAUACUUAGUUUUGCACAUUACUUUUUUUUUUUCCUUAUACAACAAAUUUUCCUGAUAUUUAACGUUUUUUUGUAAGGACAAUUUGCUUUUAUAAUACUUAGAAAAACAAUAAUAGCUUUUUGAAAAAGAAGUAUUUGCAGUAAUUUCUGUCUGUCUUUUUGAAUUCUUUCUACACAUAUACUUCAUCUCAGGCAAAUUACCCACUUUGCACAAAUUAAAGCAAAUAUUCUUAUCAACAUGUUGCACACAAAUUACUGGUUCAAAAUGAUUAUUCUCACAAUGUUUUAAAUAAAUUCCACCACUUUCCAACACAGUACUCAUGCAACUAUAUUUUACCCAUUUUCCCUCAUUACAUAUAUAUAGAUCCACUCCUAAAGCAUUUGCUGUUCCUUGAAAUUCUAUGUCUGAAGCACAAUAUCCAACAUAUUGCAUCUGUGACUUUGAAAUGUAUUCAGAGAUUGAAGCAAAUUCUUUACCUACUAAGUUCAUGUGUUCUUCACUGUGAUUUUCCAUAUAUUUGACAACAGCAAGCCUUAUUUUCCGAUGAUUUUUUUCACAACCGCUAAUUACUUGUGCUACUGCUCUAAAAAAACUAUUGCCAUCCUUUACAACUUUAUCUGUCUUACAAACAGCACCUAAAGAUCCAUGAACAGUGGGUACUUGCAUAUUUUCUCUUUCAAAAUUCAAAUGAUUUUUUUUACAUAAUGUUUGUGCAACUUCCACAGAUAGAGGUCUAUAUGUGAAUGCCAUUUGAGCUUCAUUUUCCACAACUUCAACAUCUCGAUCUCUAACCAUUCUUACUUCACAAGAUGUGUCAUUGUGCAUUGUUUUUAGCAUACUAUGAUGCUGUUGUUCAGUCUUAAACUGCAUUUGCUUAGUAAUAAGCUGAUGGUUGUUUUCCAAAGUCACAACAUUCUUUACAUUCUUAGAGUUUGCUCUAAUAUCAUACCCUUCAAUCAAAGAUGCACUGACUUUGCAGUAGCCAUAACAACUCUGUUGUUCAGGCUUAUUAACACAAACUACAGUCUCAUAAUGAUUUCCGUGGCAAUUUUCUAAGUAGAUGCUUUGUUUUGACAAAAACUUACCAUUGCACCUGUAUUUUAACCAACGACCAUCAUAAAAUGUAAAAACAUCAAUUCCUAAAUAAUCAGCUGUUGCUUGUAUUUCAACUUCUGUCGCCCAGCUAUUAACAUAUCUCAUUUUAGACUUGUUAAUGUACUCUGAUACUGAAGAAUACUCUCUUCUCAAAAUGUUUCGAUAUUUUUCAGCAUUCUUUUCCAAAUGUUGCACAACAGCGAGUCGUAUUUUUCUGUGAUACUUUUGUGUGCCACUUACAGCUUGAGAGAUGGCUCGGAAGAAACAAUUUCCGUCAGCCAUUAUUUUGUCAUUUUUGCAUGGAACUCCUAACAAACCAACAUGUGUCAAUAUUGGAACACUAACUUUUUCGUAUUCCACAUUUAAUUGAGUACACAAAGUUUGACAAACCUGUUUACAAAUAGGACUAAACAUCAUGCUGUUAUUUUUUACAUCACUAACAAAUUCAACAUCUGAAAUAUCUUCAGAAACAUCAUAUCUUUUUUGCUUCUUUGAAGUACAAUUACUUACUGAAAUUUUACGCUUAUUUCUUGCAUCAUUAUUUGUUGGCUGAUCAUUUGAAGAAUCCUCAUCAAACUCAAUUUCAAAUGUCUUGACAGAGUCUUUGCAGCUCUCUGUUAAUGUUAAACACUCUGUACGCUUCUCAUCUUUAAUUUCUGAUGCAUUGUGCUGUGUAGGUUUCACAGUUGUAAUAGUGGCACGGAUACCAGUUAUUUCAAAAGGUUUUUCAUUCUCACUGAGCCCUUUAGCUAAAAGGCAAAUGUGAUUGUGCAAAUCUUUUACAGAAGAAAAAUAUACAACAACACUUCUUCCAUUUCCAUCAACCAUUCCAAGAGCACUCCGUGCAUGAGAGUCAAUCAGAGCAUACUGUCCAUUGUGAGAUAUGAUUGCACAUGUACUACUACACAAUGUUAAAAGACAUAAGUCAUACUGUGCAAACAUUUUUUCCAGUCCAGCUGAAAGACUGCUGUAGAAACCACUCUCAAUUAAUUCACCAUCAACCACAUCUAUAUCACCACUGACAAACUCACCAUAUUCAAACAAAAAACUUUCUCCAUCAAUAAUUGAUUCUUUUGGCAAAUCAGGAAUGGCCAACAAUUUGGAUUUGUGUCUAAUCUGAUUAGUGUCUCGCAAAGCUGUGUACAACUUGUCGCCUAAAACAACAACUCUGUCAAGGUCUUUGGUCUGCCACGAGAAUGCACUAUCAACUGUAUGCUUUGCUAAGCUUACUAAACCUAUUGCCAUACAUUGAACUCCUCUGUAUUUAAACUGGUCAUUCCCCUGAUGAAAGGAUCCUCUUACACUGUUUUCAAGUCUGACAGAAGUACUAUCCUCAAACUCAGCUGCAACUUCAGUGCCUAUAUUGCCAAACUCAUGAACACCUUUGAUGUCAACAUCGCUGUCUGGAAACUCUCUACCACAAGCAUGAUUUUGAUGAUACGUCUUCACAGAAAUGCUACUAACAGCAUACCAUUGUGCAUCUAAAGACUUCCUUAGAUUAUUGAUAUGAACCAUCAGAUCAUUAAGACAUGUGUUGAAAACAACCACAGGCGUGCCAAUAUCAGAGGCCAACCCAAACAUAUCACGUGUUCUGAAAUCAACCACUGCAAAAUAAUUGUUGUGAUGAAUGAUGACAAUAACUGCACUGUGAAGGUUUAGCAGACACAUUCCAUCCCUCAACAAAUAUUCUUGGAGCUUUUCAUACAUUACGGCUUCCUCUUGCAGCAAUUCAAAAUCUUUGUAUACUGGUGGACCAAUUUUUACAUUCCACUUCCUGCCAAACACAUUGUGAUGUUCUAUUAACUUACACAACUCUUUCUGUUCACUUUCUCUUUUCUGACGUGACAUGACUACAUAUUCUGUUAGUUUGCUCCCUUCUACAUAUAUGUCAUCAAUAUCUGUCUGUGCCCAUGUACAAACAGGAGAAAUCACAUGUUUAAUUCCAGCCACAACAGAACAUCCAAUCAAUGCAUCACAGCUCAAUUGUGCAGCCCGAACAUCUGUCCCAGCAACAACAGACAGCGGCAAUUUUUCUGAACAUAUGCAUGCAUUAGCA
Long non-coding RNA from Cyprinus carpio carpio, 3443 nucleotides. Lineage: Eukaryota; Metazoa; Chordata; Actinopteri; Cypriniformes; Cyprinidae. The record is from Ensembl.